AGAACGAACGCUGGCGGCAUGCCUAACACAUGCAAGUCGAACGAGACCUUCGGGUCUAGUGGCGCACGGGUGCGUAACGCGUGGGAAUCUGCCCUUGGGUUCGGGAUAACAGUUGGAAACGACUGCUAAUACCGGAUGAUGACUUCGGUCCAAAGAUUUAUUGCCCAGGGAUGAGCCCGCGUAGGAUUAGCUAGUUGGUGAGGUAAAGGCUCACCAAGGCGACGAUCCUUAGCUGGUCUGAGAGGAUGAUCAGCCACACUGGGACUGAGACACGGCCCAGACUCCUACGGGAGGCAGCAGUGGGAAUCUGCGCAAUGGGCGAAAGCCUGACGCAGCAUGCCGCGUGAGUGAAGAAGGUCUUAGGAUUGUAAAGCUCUUUCGCUCGUGACGAUGAUGACGUAACGAGAAGAAGAACGCCCGACUAACUUCGUGCCAGCACGCCGACGUAAU
RNAcentral lists this ribosomal RNA (450 nucleotides) under uncultured soil bacterium. Its description in RNAcentral is "bacterial SSU rRNA". It matches the Rfam family "Bacterial small subunit ribosomal RNA", at positions 26 to 524 of the family's 1533-position model. The record is from RNAcentral.